CUGGGAUUACAGGCGUGAGCCACUGCACCCAGCCUGAAUGUGAUUCUUUUAUUCUGCCAUUCGAUAACUCUUCGUUGAGUACUGUUCUAGGUGCUGGGAAUACAGCAGUGAACAAACAAUGCUGAUAACAGCCACGGUGACAACAGGCGUAGCUGACAUGUUCACAGUGCCAUGUGCCAGACCAUGCUGUGCACCUAACGAUGCCAUCAUUAAUUCUCACAACUCCGGGAAGGAGAUUCUACCUCC
This 246-nucleotide long non-coding RNA is filed under the name Homo sapiens (human). Its description in RNAcentral is "HSALNT0155546". Lineage: Eukaryota; Metazoa; Chordata; Mammalia; Primates; Hominidae. The record is from RNAcentral.